RNAcentral lists this transfer RNA (72 nucleotides) under Nandus nandus. RNAcentral describes it as "tRNA-Gly". It matches the Rfam family "tRNA". From Rfam's summary of the family: Transfer RNA (tRNA) molecules are approximately 80 nucleotides in length. Their secondary structure includes four short double-helical elements and three loops (D, anti-codon, and T loops). Further hydrogen bonds mediate the characteristic L-shaped molecular structure. tRNAs have two regions of fundamental functional importance: the anti-codon, which is responsible for specific mRNA codon recognition, and the 3' end, to which the tRNAs corresponding amino acid is attached (by aminoacyl-tRNA synthetases). tRNAs cope with the degeneracy of the genetic code in two manners: having more than one tRNA (with a specific anti-codon) for a particular amino acid; and 'wobble' base-pairing, i.e. permitting non-standard base-pairing at the 3rd anti-codon position. The record is from RNAcentral. Lineage: Eukaryota; Metazoa; Chordata; Actinopteri; Anabantiformes; Nandidae.
AUCUUUCUAGUAUCAAAACUAGUACAUGUGACUUCCAAUCACCGAGUCUUGGUUAAAAUCCAAGGAAAGAUA